RNAcentral lists this ribosomal RNA (750 nucleotides) under uncultured Clostridium sp. RNAcentral describes it as "bacterial SSU rRNA". It matches the Rfam family "Bacterial small subunit ribosomal RNA", at positions 28 to 774 of the family's 1533-position model. Lineage: Bacteria; Bacillati; Bacillota; Clostridia; Eubacteriales; Clostridiaceae. The record is from RNAcentral.
GAUGAACGCUGGCGGCGUGCCUAAUACAUGCAAGUCGAACGCUUCGAUUUAUCGAAGAGUGGCGAACGGGUGAGUAAUACAUAAGUAACCUGCCCUUAACAGGGGGAUAACUACUAGAAAUGGUAGCUAAGACCGCAUAGGUGGAUUGAUCGCAUGAUCGAUUCAUUAAAAGACCUUUCAAGGUCUGGAUAAGGAUGGACUUAUGUCGCAUUAGCUAGUUGGUAAGGUAACGGCUUACCAAGGCGACGAUGCGUAGCCGGCCUGAGAGGGUGAACGGCCACAUUGGGACUGAGACACGGCCCAAACUCCUACGGGAGGCAGCAGUAGGGAAUUUUCGGCAAUGGGGGAAACCCUGACCGAGCAACGCCGCGUGAAGGAAGAAGGAAUUCGUUUCGUAAACUUCUGUUAUAAAGGAAGAAAGAUGAUAUCAGGAAAUGGAUGUCAAGUGACGGUACUUUAUGAGAAAGCCACGGCUAACUACGUGCCAGCAGCCGCGGUAAUACGUAGGUGGCAAGCGUUAUCCGGAAUUAUUGGGCGUAAAGAGGGAGCAGGCGGUAACAAAGGUCUGUGGUGAAAGCCUGAAGCUUAACUUCAGUAAGCCAUAGAAACCAGGUAACUAGAGUGCAAGAGAGGAUCGUGGAAUUCCAUGUGUAGCGGUGAAAUGCGUAGAUAUAUGGAGGAACACCAGUGGCGAAGGCGACGAUCUGGCUUGUAACUGACGCUGAGUCCCGAAAGCGUGGGGAGCAAAUA